This 44-nucleotide transfer RNA is filed under the name Staurois latopalmatus (Sabah splash frog). Its description in RNAcentral is "tRNA-Ser(AGY)". The record is from RNAcentral. Lineage: Eukaryota; Metazoa; Chordata; Amphibia; Anura; Ranidae.
AAGCAGCUCUACAAAAAUACACAGGACACUUUGACUGCUAUCAC